GGAGGAAUGGCCGAGCGGUCGAUGGCGCCGGUCUUGAAAACCGGAAACCGAAAGGUUCGUAGGUUCGAAUCCUACUUCCUCCGACCA
RNAcentral lists this transfer RNA (87 nucleotides) under bacterium CG2_30_54_10. RNAcentral's name for it is "tRNA-Ser". It matches the Rfam family "tRNA". From Rfam's summary of the family: Transfer RNA (tRNA) molecules are approximately 80 nucleotides in length. The record is from RNAcentral.